Molecule: long non-coding RNA, 520 nt
Organism: Drosophila persimilis
Lineage: Eukaryota; Metazoa; Arthropoda; Insecta; Diptera; Drosophilidae
Exons: 3
Source: RefSeq, a predicted model, not a curated record
UUAAAAUGUGAAAAAAACCAGAAGAGCACUUACACAAAUCGGCACACAAAAUGCCUCGUUAGGCUAAUAGCAGAUAUGCCUAACGUCGAUAUAUCAGCCAAGGCACAUACACGCACAACGUUAUGCGAGACAAUGCUGCUAGGAAAGCCCUGUAAACUGAUGUGACGCUCUCCGUAGGAUGGAACAACUUCUGCUGCUGGAGUUACACAAACAAAAUGUGUUUCUGGCGAGCCCACGACCCUCGGAUCACAAGGCGACAACUCUACUUAAUAUGGCGAACAAUCUACUCUGGUACACAGCCAUCCUUGACGGACAGCGUACAGCUUUUGACGGGCUUUCCUAGGUUUUUAUAGAGGUGACAUACUACAGGUUAUUACACGCACAUAUUCACGCACUACACAUUCACAAUUUCUCGUUAAAUAACUCAAGGCUAAUGGCGAGUCCGUUGGUAUGGCGAACACACAUUUUAAUGUUUAAUACAAUUCUAGCAUGUUAAUAAAUAUAAUUAAAGAAAUGACAA